Molecule: long non-coding RNA, 362 nt
Filed under: Rattus norvegicus (Norway rat)
Lineage: Eukaryota; Metazoa; Chordata; Mammalia; Rodentia; Muridae
Description: long non-coding RNA NONRATT025247
Source: RNAcentral
GAACUUCAAGAAAAGCUUCACAGUCGAAGUGGCUUGAGCCAUCUUGGAAGACAAGAAAAGUUGUGCUCUGGCGCCUACCAUGAGCCUUUGCAUAUUCAUCAUAUUACAGAAAAUGGAGGACUGUACAAAAGACCGUUUAAUGAAGCUUUUGAAGAAACACCCAUGCUAGUUGCUGUGCUCACAUACGUGGGCUAUGGUGUACUCACCCUCUUUGGAUAUCUUCGAGAUUUCUUGAGGCAUUGGAGAAUUGAAAAGUGCCACCAUGCAACAGAAAGAGAAGAACAAAAGGACUUUGUGUCCUUGUAUCAGGAUUUUGAAAACUUCUAUACAAGGAACCUCUACAUGAGGAUCAGAGACAACUG